CGCGCAGGCGGCCGACGUAGUCAGGCGUGAAAGCCCCGGGCUUAACCUGGGAAUUGCGUUUGAUACUCGUUGGCUGGAGUUCGGGAGAGGAUGGUGGAAUUCCCAGUGUAGAGGUGAAAUUCGUAGAUAUUGGGAAGAACACCGGUGGCGAAGGCGGCCAUCUGGACCGAAACUGACGCUGAGGCGCGAAAGCGUGGGGAGCAAACAGGAUUAGAUACCCUGGUAGUCCACGCCGUAAACGAUGUGUGCUAGACGUUGGCGGGCCUAGCCUGCCAGUGUCGCAGCUAACGCGUUAAGCACACCGCCUGGGGAGUACGGCCGCAAGGUUAAA
This 331-nucleotide ribosomal RNA is filed under the name uncultured Skermanella sp. RNAcentral describes it as "bacterial SSU rRNA". It matches the Rfam family "Bacterial small subunit ribosomal RNA", at positions 568 to 898 of the family's 1533-position model. Lineage: Bacteria; Pseudomonadati; Pseudomonadota; Alphaproteobacteria; Rhodospirillales; Azospirillaceae. The record is from RNAcentral.